CUACGCACUCCUACGGGAGGCAGCAGUGGGGAAUAUUGCACAAUGGGCGCAAGCCUGAUGCAGCCAUGCCGCGUGUAUGAAGAAGGCCUUCGGGUUGUAAAGUACUUUCAGCAGUGAGGAAGGUGGGUAUGUUAAUAGCAUAUUCAUUUGACGUUAGCUGCAGAAGAAGCACCGGCUAACUCCGUGCCAGCAGCCGCGGUAAUACGGAGGGUGCGAGCGUUAAUCGGAAUUACUGGGCGUAAAGCGCAUGCAGGUGGUUUGUUAAGUCAGAUGUGAAAGCCCGGGGCUCAACCUCGGAAUUGCAUUUGAAACUGGCAAACUAGAGUACUGUAGAGGGGGUAGAAUUUCAGGUGUAGCGGUGAAAUGCGUAGAGAUCUGAAGGAAUACCGGUGGCGAAGGCGGCCCCCUGGACAGAUACUGACACUCAGAUGCGAAAGCGUGGGGAGCAAACAGGAUUAGAUACCCUGGGAG
This 471-nucleotide ribosomal RNA is filed under the name uncultured bacterium. Its description in RNAcentral is "bacterial SSU rRNA". It matches the Rfam family "Bacterial small subunit ribosomal RNA", at positions 329 to 793 of the family's 1533-position model. The record is from RNAcentral.